AAUAGGAGAAUGACAAAUCAGAUUUUUCUUCCUAAUUUUUAACCUUUUUUCCUGAAAAAAAUUUAAAUCGAACUAAAAAUGCUAAAAAUCAAGAGGAAAAAUCUGAUAUUUGUCAUUUUCCUAUU
Molecule: microRNA precursor, 125 nt
Organism: Gossypium arboreum
Lineage: Eukaryota; Viridiplantae; Streptophyta; Magnoliopsida; Malvales; Malvaceae
Rfam family: MIR7504 microRNA precursor family
Source: Rfam